CUACGUGCCAGCAGCCGCGGUAAUACGGAAGGUCCAGGCGUUAUCCGGAUUUAUUGGGUUUAAAGGGAGUGUAGGCGGUUUGUUAAGCGUGUUGUGAAAUUUAGGUGCUCAACAUUUAACUUGCAGCGCGAACUGUCAGACUUGAGUACACGCAACGUAUGCGGAAUUCAUGGUGUAGCGGUGAAAUGCUUAGAUAUGACGAAGAACUCCGAUUGCGAAGGCAGCUGACGGGAGCGCAACUGACGCUUAAGCUCGAAGGUGCGGGUAUCAAACAGGAUUAGAUACCCUGGUAGUCCGCACAGUAAACGAUGGAUGCCCGCUGUUGGUGCCUGGUAUCAGCGGCUAAGCGAAAGCAUUAAGCAUCCCACCUGGGGAGUACGCCGGCAACGGUGAAACUCAAAGGAAUUGACGGGGGCCCGCGCAAGCGGAGGAACAUGUGGUUUAAUUCGAUGAUACGCGAGGAACCUUACCCGGGCUUGAA
Molecule: ribosomal RNA, 481 nt
Filed under: uncultured bacterium
Lineage: Bacteria
Description: bacterial SSU rRNA
Rfam family: Bacterial small subunit ribosomal RNA
Source: RNAcentral